AUUGAACGCUGGCGGCAUGCUUUACACAUGCAAGUCGAACGGCAGCGCGGGCUUCGGCCUGGCGGCGAGUGGCGCACGGGUGAGUAAUGCAUCGGAACGUGCCCAGUAGUGGGGGAUAGCCCGGCGAAAGCCGGAUUGAUACCGCAGACGACCUGAGGCUGAAAGCGGGGGAGCGAAAGGCCGCGCGCUCGUGGAGCGACCGAGGUCGGAUUAGCUAGUUGGUGGGGUAAAGGCUUACCAAGGCGACGAUCCGUAGCUGGUCUGAGAGGACGACCAGCCACACUGGGACGGAGACACGGCCCAGAGUACUACGGGAGGCAGCAGUGGGGAAUUUUAGACAGUGGGGGCAACCCUGAUCCAGCCAUGCCGCGUGCGGGAAGAAGGCCUUCGGGUUGUGAACCGGUUUUGUUCGGGAAGAAAUCCUCUGGGCUAAUACCCCGGGGGGAUGACGGUACCGGAAGAAUAAGCACCGGCUAACUACGUG
This 484-nucleotide ribosomal RNA is filed under the name uncultured bacterium. RNAcentral's name for it is "partial 16S ribosomal RNA". It matches the Rfam family "Bacterial small subunit ribosomal RNA", at positions 28 to 507 of the family's 1533-position model. The record is from RNAcentral.